CUUCUACUGUUUAAUAAAAACAUUGUAAUACAGAUGUGUUAUAACCUCCUGCCCAAUGAAAACAUUUGAAUGGCCGCGGUAAUUUGACCGUGCAAAGGUAGCAUAAUAAAUUGUUUAAUAAAUUUAAACUAGAAUGAAAGGAAUAAAGAAGG
Molecule: non-coding RNA, 152 nt
Organism: Trichinella pseudospiralis
Lineage: Eukaryota; Metazoa; Nematoda; Enoplea; Trichinellida; Trichinellidae
Source: Rfam